CCUACGGGGUGCACCGGUGGGGAAUAUUGCACAAUGGGCGCAAGCCUGGUGCAGCCAUGCCGCGUGUAUGAAGAAGGCCUUCGGGUCGUAAAGUACUUUCAGCGGGGAGGAAGGCGAUAAGGUUAAUAACCUUGUCGAUUGACGUUACCCGCAGAAGAAGCACCGGCUAACUCCGUGCCAGCAGCCACGGUAAUACGGAGGGUGCAAGCGUUAAUCAGAAUUACUGGGCGUAAAGCGCACGCAGGCGGUCUGUCAAGUCGGAUGUGAAAUCCCCGGGCUCAACCUGGGAACUGCAUUCGAAACUGGCAGGCUGGAGUCUUGUAGAGGGGGGUAGAAUUCCAGGUGUAGCGGUGAAAUGCGUAGAGAUCUGGAGGAAUACCAGUGGCGAAGGCGGCCCCCUGGACAAAGACUGACGCUCAGGUGCGAAAGCGUGGGGAGCAAACAGGAUUAGAUACCCGCGUAGUC
RNAcentral lists this ribosomal RNA (465 nucleotides) under uncultured bacterium. RNAcentral describes it as "bacterial SSU rRNA". It matches the Rfam family "Bacterial small subunit ribosomal RNA", at positions 338 to 795 of the family's 1533-position model. The record is from RNAcentral.